UACGUAGGGGGCAAGCGUUGUUCGGAAUUACUGGGCGUAAAGGGCGCGUAGGCGGCAUGGCAAGUCGGGAGUGAAAGCCCGGGGCUCAACCCCGGAACGGCUUUCGAAACUGCCAAGCUAGAGUACGGAAGGGGCAACUGGAAUUCCCAGUGUAGCGGUGAAAUGCGUAGAUAUUGGGAAGAACACCGGAGGCGAAGGCGGGUUGCUGGGCCGAUACUGACGCUGAGGAGCGAAAGCGUGGGGAGCGAACAGG
RNAcentral lists this ribosomal RNA (253 nucleotides) under uncultured bacterium. RNAcentral's name for it is "partial 16S ribosomal RNA". It matches the Rfam family "Bacterial small subunit ribosomal RNA", at positions 524 to 776 of the family's 1533-position model. The record is from RNAcentral.